GAUGAAGAACGUAGCGAAAUGCGAUAAGUAAUGUGAAUUGCAGAAUUCAGUGAAUCAUCGAAUCUUUGAACGCACAUUGCGCCCGGCAGUACUCUGCCGGGCAUGCCUGUUCGAGCGUCAUUUCAACCCUCAAGCCCUGCUUGGUGUUGGGGUCCCACGGCCGCCGUGGGCCCUGAAAGGAAGUGGCGGGCUCGCUACAACUCCGAGCGUAGUAAUUCAUUAUCUCGCUUAGGGCGUUGGGCGGCGCUCCUGCCGUUAAAGAACCAUCUUUAACUCAAGGUUGACCUCGGAUCAGGUAGGAAUACACGCUGAACUUAAGCAUAUCAAUAAGCGGAGGA
Molecule: unclassified non-coding RNA, 338 nt
Filed under: soil metagenome
Description: partial contains 5.8S ribosomal RNA, internal transcribed spacer 2, and large subunit ribosomal RNA
Rfam family: 5.8S ribosomal RNA (bases 1-120)
Source: RNAcentral